GGUGAACGCUGGCGGCGUGCCUAAGACAUGCAAGUCGAGCGGGCCGCGGGUUUUUACUCCGUGUUCAGCGGCGGACGGGUGAGUAACGCGUGGGGGACCUACUCGCCUUGGCGUGACAACCCGUGGAAACUCGUGCUAAUCCUCCAUGUGGACCCGCCCCGUGGGGUGUGUCCAAAGGGCUUUGCUCGCUUGCGGGUGGGCGCGCGUCCCAUCAGCUAGUUGGUGGGGUAGUGGCGGACCAAGGCGCCGAUGGGUAGCCGGCCUGCGGGGGUGGGCGGCUGAAGGGGCACUGAGACACUGGGCUCACGCCUACGGGCGGAAGCGGGUAAGAAGCUUCCGCAAUGGCAGAAAGGCUGAAGGAGCGACGCAGCAAGGAGGAAGACGGGAUGCGGGGUGUAGAGUCGUGAACCGGGGACGAAUCCCACGACGAGGGAAUUGACGGUACCGGUGUAGUAGCGCCGGCCAACUACGUG
This 473-nucleotide ribosomal RNA is filed under the name uncultured bacterium. Its description in RNAcentral is "partial 16S ribosomal RNA". It matches the Rfam family "Bacterial small subunit ribosomal RNA", at positions 28 to 507 of the family's 1533-position model. The record is from RNAcentral.